RNAcentral lists this small RNA (232 nucleotides) under Nannospalax galili (Upper Galilee mountains blind mole rat). RNAcentral's name for it is "7SK RNA (ENSNGAG00000002501.1)". The stretch from base 77 to 232 matches the Rfam family "7SK RNA", at positions 182 to 331 of the family's 331-position model. Rfam says of the family: 7SK was discovered as an abundant small nuclear RNA in the mid-70s but a possible function has only recently been suggested. Two independent studies have found that 7SK RNA binds the CDK9/cyclin T complex (known as elongation factor P-TEFb). P-TEFb activates transcription by phosphorylating the C-terminal domain of RNA polymerase II. The record is from RNAcentral. Lineage: Eukaryota; Metazoa; Chordata; Mammalia; Rodentia; Spalacidae.
GGUUGAUGAGGAUGCUCUCAAGAGGACGACGAACCCAGUGACGGUUGGUGAGGAUGAAAGAGGAUGACCAAACAAGGGUAUAGAGAGAAGGAGGAGCUGUGCUCCCCUGCUGCAUAGAACCUCCAAUCAAGCUCUCAAGGUCCACUUGGAGGAGAACCUAGGCUAGUCGAACUUCCAACACUCUACACACAUCCAUAUAUCAGGCACUGCAUGUGGCAGUCUGCCCUUUUAU